CGUGCUAUAGUCACGUGGUGAAGGAAAGGAGAUAAAAGGGAGUGUGACGAGCCCGGAAGUACCGCGUCUAAGAAGUGUUUGUGUUUACCUGGUGUGAGUGUUUGGCCUGCUGUCGGAGGACGGAUGGCGUUUGGUCAGGAGAAGUGCUUGUUGUUAAUACCGGAGCGAGCGACACGGAGCUUUGCUCAGAUUCUCAGAUUCCCGGAUCGACAGCUUAUGAGCUAAACUAUCGACCAAAUGAGAUUCGCCGACUUUGUGUGUCCCAGAGGUUCCUUACACUCCACUUCAGUGAGAUUCAUCACAGCAAAACUUGGUUCGGAAACGAACCAGAGACGCGGUCACUACUGGAAUGUGAAGACGUGUUUUUUGUGUUUUUUAUGAAUGAUCCAAUAAACUGAUUUGAUGUGGACUGCUA
Misgurnus anguillicaudatus (oriental weatherfish) is the source of this 415-nucleotide non-coding RNA. The record is from RefSeq and is a predicted model, not a curated record. Lineage: Eukaryota; Metazoa; Chordata; Actinopteri; Cypriniformes; Cobitidae.